RNAcentral lists this ribosomal RNA (492 nucleotides) under uncultured bacterium. Its description in RNAcentral is "partial 16S ribosomal RNA". It matches the Rfam family "Bacterial small subunit ribosomal RNA", at positions 29 to 507 of the family's 1533-position model. The record is from RNAcentral.
AGUGAACGCUGGCGGUAGGCCUAAUACAUGCAAGUCGAACGGCAGCACAGUAAGAGCUUGCUCGUACGGGUGGCGAGUGGCGGACGGGUGAGGAAUAAAUCGGAAUCUACUUUUUCGUGAGGGAUAACGUAGGGAAACUUACGCUAAUACCGCAUACGACCUACGGGUGAAAGCAGGGGAUCUUCGGACCUUGCGCGAUUGAAUGAGCCGAUGUCGGAUUGGCUAGUUGGCGGGGUAAAGGCCCACCAAGGCGACGAUCCGUAGCUGGUCUGAGAGGAUGAUCAGCCACACUGGCACUGUGACACGGUGCAGACGCCUAGGGGAGGCAGCGGUGGGGAAUAUUGGACAAUGGGCGCAAGCCUGAUCCAGCCAUACCGCGUGGGUGAAGAAGGCCUUCGGGUUGUAAAGCCCUUUUGUUGGGAAAGAAAAGCAGCAGGUUAAUACCCCGCUGUUCUGACGGUACCCAAAGAAUAAGCACCGGCUAACUUCGUG